Molecule: ribosomal RNA, 292 nt
Filed under: uncultured bacterium
Lineage: Bacteria
Description: partial 16S ribosomal RNA
Rfam family: Bacterial small subunit ribosomal RNA
Source: RNAcentral
GUGCCAGCCGCCGCGGUAAUACGAAGGGUGCAAGCGUUACUCGGAAUUACUGGGCGUAAAGCGUGCGUAGGCGGUUCGUUAAGUCAGAUGUGAAAGCCCCGGGCUCAACCUGGGAAUUGCAUUUGAUACUGGCGGGCUAGAGUACGGUAGAGGGUGGUGGAAUUCCCGGUGUAGCAGUGAAAUGCGUAGAGAUCGGGAGGAACAUCUGUGGCGAAGGCGGCCACCUGGACCAGUACUGACGCUGAGGCACGAAAGCGUGGGGAGCAAACAGGAUUAGAUACCCUGGUAGUCC